Culex quinquefasciatus (southern house mosquito) is the source of this 476-nucleotide long non-coding RNA. RefSeq lists it as uncharacterized. The transcript has 2 exons. Lineage: Eukaryota; Metazoa; Arthropoda; Insecta; Diptera; Culicidae. The record is from RefSeq and is a predicted model, not a curated record.
UUUUUCGCUUGACACCUCCUGGAAGCAAGCCGUGUCCUUUCGUGUUUCUGUGUUUUUUUUUUGUACUGAAGAAAUAGAAAUGGUGCCCCCCUCCGAACGUGUUCUGCCCUGCAAAUAUCCCGGCGACGGCGUCCCCUAAAACGCGCGUCGGGAUUAUUUCGCAGAGGCAAUAUCACGUAUAGAAAACAUUCGUUUUCUUGGGUUAGAUUAAUUGAGGGGGGGGGGGUUAGAAAAUGGUGGAGGAGCGCAAAAACGAGAUUUUAUCGAGCAUGACGUCACAAGGCAUCAGUUUCAACAUCAGUCAACAACUUUUUGACAGAUUUAUGUGAUUUACACUACAGAAUUAUUCAACACAAAAUAAAACCAACAUUAUUCCAAAGUUAACUUUUAUUUCUGCAACAGAAGAUUACAUUAAGAUAAAAUAACGGAGAAAAAGCGCAAUGCCUGUCUUGUAAAUAAAAUUUAAUAAAACACAA